This 1277-nucleotide long non-coding RNA is filed under the name Daphnia magna. RNAcentral's name for it is "uncharacterized LOC123467840, transcript variant X1". The record is from RNAcentral. Lineage: Eukaryota; Metazoa; Arthropoda; Branchiopoda; Diplostraca; Daphniidae.
UUCAGUGUAGUGCUGGCAGUGGAGGAGUACGUGUGUGGCGUCCUCUCGUUCCGGGCAUCCGUUCGGGCAAUCUGCGAGUGUUUCCGGUUCCAAUCUGCUGAUGAAGUGAUUUAGUUUGUUGUGGCCGCUGCGUAGUCGGAACAAGGCUGAUUGGAUAGUUCUUUUCUUAUUGGUGUGCCAUGUGGCAUUGCGUCGGUCCUUCCGGAUGUUUGUCGCCAGUUGGUCUGCGAUUUCGUUUCCAACGAUUCCGGCGUGUGAGGGUAUUGCUGGGCUUGACUCCCAUUUGAAGUUGGAUAUUGCUUGAAUGGAAGAUUUUGAAUCAGUGAAGAUGGUGGCUGAGUCCAUCUCGUACUUGUUGAGGUAUGUGGAAUGCACAGCUGGCAGUUUUGUUGUCUCGCACACUGAUCCAUCAGUGUAUACUUCAAGGUGGUUGGUGUUUGGAUUACGAUUGCAAUUGGAGUGGGAUCGUUGUGGCUGCUUUGGUUUUCGCCGUGGAAUAUAUUGCGAUGUCAUCGGCGAAAAGGGAAGUUUCGCAUCCUUCUUCUGGGAUUGGGAAGUCCGCAAGCAUUACGUUGAAUAGGAGGGGGCUGAGCACACUUCCUUGAGGGACUCCUUUGGAAAUUUUUCUUUCUUCGGAUAGGUUGUUGUUUACUCUUGUCCUUAUGCCUCUUCCGGAGUCCUUCUAUCCAUGUGUUGUCGUACGCCUUCGAGAUGUCCAGGAAUAUUGCUGUGGUUGGGUGGCUGCUGUUGAAGCCGGAUUUGAUGGCUGAUUCUAUUCGGAUUAGAUUGUCGGUGGUGGUACAUCCUCUUCGGAAUCCGGUUUGGACUUUCGGCAUGAUGUCAAUGAGACUGGUCUGUACGAUUCCGCUUCUCCGGGUGGAUUGCCUGGUUUGAGGAUGGGUGUGACGAUGGCACAUUUCCAAUCUUUUGGGAUGUAUCCUUCCCUGAACAUCAAGUUGAUUGUUCGAAGAUGGGGCAUGCUGCUGUUCCUGCUUCGUGGUCGUUUCCUUCGCACGUCGGGCACUUUGGUGGGCUGGUGCACUGUUGGUCUUCUUCAUGGGCACAGGCACAGGUUCUACACACUUGAACAACGGGGCUUGAUUCUUCCGGAUGUCCGAAUACCCAACACUUUCGGCACAGGUACGGUCUUGGGAUGAAUUUUUUCACUAAGAACACUUCGUGGGCGAUGAUGACUUCGCGCGGGAGGUGUGUUGUGUCGAAGUAGAGAGUGACCAUUGUAGAGCUGGUCGUAGUGUUGUUGGGUCCUCGUUUGGCGA